UAGUUGAAAUGCAUGGUGGGAAAUAAAUGAGUAUUUCAUUUGCUGUACCUGCAACCGUAUAGUCGGAGCGCCACCCAACUA
The submitters of this non-coding RNA (81 nucleotides) gave its source as unclassified sequences. The record is from Rfam.